CCUACGGGUGGCUGCAGUGGGGAAUAUUGGACAAUGGGCGAAAGCCUGAUCCAGCCAUGCCGCGUGUGUGAAGAAGGCCUUCGGGUUGUAAAGCACUUUCAGUGGGGAAGAAAGCCUUGGGGCUAAUACCCUCGAGGAAGGACAUCACCCACAGAAGAAGCACCGGCUAACUCCGUGCCAGCAGCCGCGGUAAUACGGAGGGUGCGAGCGUUAAUCGGAAUUACUGGGCGUAAAGCGCGCGUAGGCGGUCUGAUAAGCCGGUUGUGAAAGCCCGGGGCUCAACCUGGGAACGGCAUCCGGAACUGUCAGGCUAGAGUGCAGGAGAGGAAGGUAGAAUUCCCGGUGUAGCGGUGAAAUGCGUAGAGAUCGGGAGGAAUACCAGUGGCGAAGGCGGCCUUCUGGACUGACACUGACGCUGAGGUGCGAAAGCGUGGGUAGCAAACAGGAUUAGAUACCCUUGUAGUC
RNAcentral lists this ribosomal RNA (465 nucleotides) under Vreelandella stevensii. RNAcentral's name for it is "partial 16S ribosomal RNA". It matches the Rfam family "Bacterial small subunit ribosomal RNA", at positions 338 to 795 of the family's 1533-position model. Lineage: Bacteria; Pseudomonadati; Pseudomonadota; Gammaproteobacteria; Oceanospirillales; Halomonadaceae. The record is from RNAcentral.